GAGGACGCCCCCCUUGUCCGCGACCCGUCCCCCUCCUCCUCCCGCCACCCCUCCCGCGCCUCCGCCUCCGCCGUCGGCGAGGUGCCCGUCUCGCAGUCGCUCAUCAAGGCGGCCAGCAACGUGUGCUUCUCCUUCUUCGUGCUCGCCGUGCUCGCCGUCACCGUCGUCGCCGUCACCUACCAGCCGCCCGACCCCUGGCUCCAGUCCUCCGCCGCCAUCACCACCUCCCUCGCCCGCGUCCUCCCCAACUCCUCCUUCCUCCAGCCCGACGACUCGCUCCUCCCCACUGGCGAGGACUUCCCCUCCCCCUCCGCUGCCCCCGGCGCCGCCGCCGCCGCCCAGCGCGACGCCGCCGACCAGGCCCUCACCUCGGCGGGCGGCAACGCCACCGCGGGGACCUGCGACCCGGACGCCCCGCUCAACUGCACCGACCCGCGCGUGCUCGCCGCCGUCAAGGCCUUCAACGCCAAGGCCUUCUUCCGCAGGUCCAUCGUCUUCCUCAGCUACGAGGCGCCCGUGCGCGGCCCCAAGCCCGGCCAGUGCGACGUGGCCUGGCGCUUCCGGAACCGCCGCGAGAAGUCCUGGCGCCGGUACAGGGACUACCGCCGCUUCGAGCUCACCCCCGGCGACGGAUGCGCGCUCGACAUCACCAAGGUCGGCAAGUUCAGGUCCGGGAAGAACGCGGCUCGCCCGCCCCGCCCCAAGGGUCCCAAGAAACCGCGCGUCGCGGCGCCGCCGGUGGAUGCGGAGAUCAACGACACGAUCCCCCUCGUCGGGUCGGAGGCAGAGUUCAGGAGAGGCAAGUACCUCUACUACAUGAGAGGCGGUGACCACUGCAAGAGCAUGAACCAGUUCAUUUGGAGCUUCCUGUGCGGGCUCGGCGAGGCCAAGUUCCUGAACCGGACGUUCGUGAUGGAUUUGAACAUGUGCUUGUCCGGGGCUCACACAGAGGACGGCAAGGAUGUGGAUGGCAAGGACUUUAGGUACUAUUUUGAUUUCGAGCACCUCAAGGAGUCGGUGUCUCUGGUGGAGGAAGGGAAUUUCUUGAAGGAUUGGCGGCGCUGGGACAAGAAGAAGGGCCCGGGCCGGAUCUCGGUGCGCAAGGUGCCCACAUACAAGGUGACCCCAAUGCAGCUGAAGAGGGACAAGAGCAACAUCAUUUGGAGGCAGUUUGAUGGGCAUGAGCCCGAGAACUACUGGUACAGGGUCUGCGAGGGGCGAGCUGCCAAGGUCAUCCAGAGGCCUUGGUAUGCCAUUUGGAAGUCCAAGAGGCUGAUGAACAUUGUAACUGAGAUUGCAGGCAGGAUGGAUUGGGACUACGAUGGUUUGCAUGUGGUCCGAGGGUGGAAGGCAAUGAACAAGAAGAUGUAUCCGAACUUGGACGCGGACACAUCACCCGACGCGAUCGUAGAUAAGGUGACCAAGCUUAUCAAGCCGUGGCGGAACCUCUACAUCGCAACCAAUGAGCCAUUCUACAACUACUUCGACAAGCUCAGGUCACACUACCAUGUGCAUUUGCUUGAUGAUUAUAAGGAGCUUUGGUCGAAUACGAGCGAGUGGUACAACAAGACGACAGCAAUCAAUAAUGGGAAGGACGUGCCGUUCGAUGCGUACAUGAAGGUGAUUGUGGACACUGAGGUAUUCUACAGAUCAAAGGCAAAGGUUGAAACGUUUAACAACCUGACGAGAGAUUGCAAAGAUGGAAUCAACACGUGCAAUUUGUGA
Molecule: ribosomal RNA, 1725 nt
Filed under: Triticum aestivum (bread wheat)
Lineage: Eukaryota; Viridiplantae; Streptophyta; Magnoliopsida; Poales; Poaceae
Description: partial small subunit ribosomal RNA
Source: RNAcentral